Molecule: ribosomal RNA, 482 nt
Filed under: uncultured bacterium
Lineage: Bacteria
Description: partial 16S ribosomal RNA
Rfam family: Bacterial small subunit ribosomal RNA
Source: RNAcentral
AUUGAACGCUGGCGGCAUGCUUUACACAUGCAAGUCGAACGGUAACAGCACUUCGGUGGCUGACGAGUGGCGAACGGGUGCGUAAUACAUCGGAACGUGCCUAGUAGUGGGGGAUAACUACUCGAAAGAGUAGCUAAUACAGCAUGAGAUCUAAGGAUGAAAGCAGGGGACCUUCGGGCCUUGCGCUACCUGAGCGGCUGAUGGCAGAUUAGGUAGUUGGUGGGAUAAAAGCUUACCAAGCCGACGAUCCGUAGCUGGUCUGAGAGGACGACCAGCCACACUGGAACUGAGACACGGCCCAGACUCCUACGGGAGGCAGCAGUGGGGAAUUUUGGACAAUGGGCGCAAGCCUGAUCCAGCAAUGCCGCGUGCAGGAUGAAGGCCUUCGGGUUGUAAACUGCUUUUGUACGGAAAGAAAAGCCCUCUUCUAAUACAGGAGGGUCAUGACGGUACCGUAAGAAUAAGCACCGGCUAACUACGUG